GACGAACGCUGGCGGCGUGCCUAAUACAUGCAAGUCGAGCGAGCUUGCCUAGAUGAUUUUAGUGCUUGCACUAAAUGAAACUAGAUACAAGCGAGCGGCGGACGGGUGAGUAACACGUGGGUAACCUGCCCAAGAGACUGGGAUAACACCUGGAAACAGAUGCUAAUACCGGAUAACAACACUAGACGCAUGUCUAGAGUUUGAAAGAUGGUUCUGCUAUCACUCUUGGAUGGACCUGCGGUGCAUUAGCUAGUUGGUAAGGUAACGGCUUACCAAGGCAAUGAUGCAUAGCCGAGUUGAGAGACUGAUCGGCCACAUUGGGACUGAGACACGGCCCA
RNAcentral lists this ribosomal RNA (338 nucleotides) under uncultured bacterium. RNAcentral describes it as "bacterial SSU rRNA". It matches the Rfam family "Bacterial small subunit ribosomal RNA", at positions 28 to 333 of the family's 1533-position model. The record is from RNAcentral.